Mercurialis annua (annual mercury) is the source of this 83-nucleotide small nucleolar RNA. RefSeq annotates it as small nucleolar RNA snoR64a. Lineage: Eukaryota; Viridiplantae; Streptophyta; Magnoliopsida; Malpighiales; Euphorbiaceae. The transcript has a single exon. The record is from RefSeq and is a predicted model, not a curated record.
AUUAUUUGUCGAAUCAUUGAAUGCUCAAAUAUUUGUUAUUUGAGUCUUAUGAUACUGUUCUUUUGUAUAGGAAGAUCUGAUGC